RNAcentral lists this transfer RNA (77 nucleotides) under Desulfobacterales bacterium. RNAcentral's name for it is "tRNA-Lys". It matches the Rfam family "tRNA". Rfam says of the family: Transfer RNA (tRNA) molecules are approximately 80 nucleotides in length. Their secondary structure includes four short double-helical elements and three loops (D, anti-codon, and T loops). Lineage: Bacteria; Pseudomonadati; Thermodesulfobacteriota; Desulfobacteria; Desulfobacterales. The record is from RNAcentral.
GGGCCGUUAGCUCAACUAGGCAGAGCAACUGACUCUUAAUCAGUAGGUUGAAGGUUCGAUUCCUUCACGGCGCACCA